Molecule: long non-coding RNA, 684 nt
Organism: Monodelphis domestica (gray short-tailed opossum)
Lineage: Eukaryota; Metazoa; Chordata; Mammalia; Didelphimorphia; Didelphidae
Source: RefSeq, a predicted model, not a curated record
CUGAAAGUAACACAAUCCAUACCUCUACUUCUCAGUUUCCCUAUCUAUAAAAUAUGGGAAUAGAUGACUUCUAAAAUCUCUUUCAGAUCUAAAUGGAGGGAUCCUAUGAUGCCAUUGUGAAACAAACAGGUGACAGUUGUGAAGCAAUAUCCUACUGAGUCUGCAAACCUUGACCAGAUUACAACAAACCCACAGAAAGGACAUGGUAAGUGUCCAAGUCUAGGAGGAGUGAAAACAUGAAGACAUACAUGAAACCCUUGGAGUCUGAGUUAAGGCUCUGUCUACAAUGACGUCAAUGGAUAGGGUUGAAAAAAAAGUCAGCCUCUAGGUACAACAAAUGUAUAAAUAUGUGAAGGAAUCUAUUAUCAUGAAAAUGAUUUUGAAUAGACAAAGUAAUGGCUUGGAAUCCCUUCAAAGAACAUGGACCUAGAGAAGUUGUAACUUACUUCACUACUUGGGUGGCUUUCCCAGGAACACGACUCCUUCUCUUGAGAGAGAAUCUCUCUUCGGAAAGUAUGAUCACCCAAGCAUGUCUGACACAGUGAAGGUUCAAAUUCGGACUCCCCCUGAUGUCUGUGCAUCACUGAAGGUCCUGUGUACUUCAGGUUGGUACUCUUUUCCACACUGACCAUUGGGCUCUUAAUCCAUCUUCGUACCUAAAAAUAUAUAAAACAAAGUGUUAAA